AGGGCAGAGUGAGGAUUUUCCCACCUUGAUGCAGGACCCCACUUUGCUGAAUUCCUGGAGGGAGAGAUGCAAAGCCCAGCUGGAUGUGAGGGAACCAUCUGAGCCAAAAUAGGAGCUGAAGCCCCAGAAAGUGGUGGGGUAGAGCUGUGAAUCCUAGCAACAGGCGGGGAAAGAACUGUACGUUUCUUCACGUCCUCCAAGUGUUGGUGCCUUCUGGUACAUCACUGACAGGAAGACACAGAGACCAUGGAAAGGCCCUCCUUGCUGAUGCAUCAAGAAAGGGCACAUUUUUUUCCAGUGGGAUGGUCUGUUGCACAGGAGCUGCCGGCCAUGCUGUUCCAGUUCAGGGGCUCCUGCAACAGAAAAGAUCAGCUGUUGGAGAACCCAUGGAAAGCCCUGGGGGAGAGCCAUGGCCGCAAGAGGACCAGGUGAUUCCAGACACAGCUCUAGCAGAUGGUUUUGGUGGUGGAAAGCACAAGGGGCUCACUCCCAGGAGCUGCUCAAGCAGUUAAGUCAAAAAUGAAGUGAUGCAUGCAGCAUGCCACAGCCUGGACAGCUCCCAGUGCUCCCCUCUGUACAGGCUGGCCCUGUUUAUGCACCCAGCUUUCCCUGUGCAUGAUCCAAAAUCUGCUGGAAUUGGGGGGCAGCCCUUUCCUGAGCCAGCUGGAGUCAGAGCACACAGGGUGUGAACCCCAGUUCUGGCAUCUCUUUGUGAUCCUGCCCACUGCAGCAUCGCCCUGAUGUCCCAGCACAUGCUGGGCUAUGCAAACCUGAUCAUGCCAGAGACCAGGAGAUUAUUUCUUUUUAAUGUUUACAUAUUCUAAUGUAAAACCUUCACCUUAUGCCCAUGGCAAAUAUUGCCAAAGUUGUGGAGUCAGGAAAGCAAAUCCAUAUUUAGUCAAUAUUAGCCCAAUAAAUAAAAUUUGAGAAUUAAAUGCAUUCUGUGCUUAGCAAAUGAAAAUUAGUUUCUGAUACGUGAGAAUUGGCUUUCUUAACAACAUAUCCCUUGUUUUAGUGAGAUAAUCUAGAGCUAUAAUAGGAAAUACAAACAUUUUUCAGAAGAACUAUACAUAAUUUAUGGAGAAGCAGGUCUGAAUUAGCUCUAGCAUUGCCCUGAGCUCUCCUACAGUCCAUAGGUCUGGAUCUCAGCUGUGCUCAUGGAUCUGCUCCCUCUCUCUGAUGAAACCCUCUCCCAGAAACAGUUAAACACAAGAAACCAGAAAUGAUCCAUAAAUUAGGUCUGGCUAUAGGUUCAAAAUCAUAAGUUAUGGCCUAUUGACCUCAUACUCUGAGGGGAAAUCAGAAGCAUUUUUCUAAAGAGCCACCACUGGAGGAAGGGAGGUUUAAUAUAUGGCACAGCAGAGACCAGCUGCAAAUAAAUACAGCACUGUAUAAUUGCAGGGAAAAUCAAUAAAUACCAUGGUGGUUAAAAUAAAGAUAUGCAUAUUGAGGCUCUGGGUUUGUGUGUGUGAAUAGUUGUUUCCCCAGAAGCAGAAGAUCAUUUUUUUCCUGAAUUAAAGCCUCAAAAAACAACAAAGGCAACAGCUCCUGUGCUGCCCCUUUUGCAAGGAGCAAGUUUCAGCUAUUGUUUCCCUCGGAGCAGCUCUGUGGGGUCGCCAUUAUUACCAUAAUUAAUAAGUGCAGUUUGCUCAUUUGAAAAAUUCCAGCAACAUUUGCUGCUCAGGCAUCGCGUCAGCGCGAGACACAAAAAAUCGCUGUGACAACUGUUCUGCAAGUUCAGGUUUUAUUGACGAGCACCACAAAGAGAUGAAGCCCAGAGCAAGUCCCUUUUCACUUUAAUAUUUAAACCUCUUUUAAGAGGACGUCAAUAUUAACUCCCAUAAUUGAUGCUGACAGGUGACUGCCUGGCCAUAAAAAAGGCAAGCGAUAGAAUUCAACAAAACCCUAAAUAACGACAACCAGGACUGGCCAGGGCAGUGGAGGACACUGGGAUGAAGGGACAAGCUCUCCUGCAUCCCUGAUGCAUCAAAGGGGACCUGGUGAUUCACCCAGGAAUGGAUGGAACCCUCUGGGCUCAGCUGAUUUUGUUCCCCCAGGUAAAUCUCUGGAUCUCCUGGAUGAGAAACCCAUCCUUGCUCAACCUCCAGACCAGCCAAUGCUUUUAAUAAAUAAAUACCAAUUGUAGCUAGUUAACCUCAGGAUUUCCAGCAUUAAAGAGAUUUCCCACAGGAGCCAGAGAGCACUGGAGGAAUGGAUAAAUGCAAAGUUCAUGGGGAAGAGGACACAGCCCUUUGCAAAUCUCAGUGUGAGGGGGAAAUACCCAGAAAGUGCUAUGAGACAGGAUCCAAAACCUGUAAUUUCCUGAUUUUCAUUGAUCUUAUUCUUAGAAAUGAGUGCAUUUUUUUUCUGUUUAAAAUUUGGGUUAAAGGCAGUUAGAAUUUGGAAUAAUGUGAAGCCAAGUUUUAAUGUAAAGUGUUUGAUAACCUGAGUAUUGUUGUUGUCUUUGCUCCAUGUACAAUCCAACCAGAAGAAAUGACACAGUAGAUCAAUCUCUUCAUUUAUUUAAAUGGAGCUAGAAAUUUUGCUGGCUUUGAGUUCCAGAUCACAGCAGAAGCCCAAAACUAGAGUGAUAAUGUUUUUAUUAAAGCUGAUAAAAGUAUUUUGAAUUUUGACUUUUCCUUAACUUCUUGAAAUUGAAGGGAGGGAAAGCACUAAAAUAUCUUGUACACAUUAAAAACGUUCACUACAGGGAAAAAUAUUUCAUUAGUAGGAAAUUGGGAUAUCUGAAAUGAGAGGUUUAAUAAAAAAUUUACUGGUAACAAUAUUGGCUGCAUAGACAGAAACUUUUCUGAAUAAACCCAAGGCACUCCAGUUAAGAUGUUUUAGGUGUUUCCAUUCUCACAUUCAUCCUUAAGCUCAAACCACCAAAAUUCCUUCCCAGCAAACAGCUCCUGCUCCACAGAUAUUUAACCAGGAUGUCCCAGCCAGCCCUUUUCUUUAUAUCCUUCAUGUUUUUUCUCCAUGCUUUGGGGCUCUCCAGGCAGUUUCUCCUCCUUGCAGAGGAAGGUGCACAGCAGAAGAUUUGGGAUUAAAGAGACAAUAAAAUGUCCCAACCACCGUCGUGCAGCAGAGAACAGGGCACGGAUUUAGAGCUAACAGAAAACAGAAGAGCUUUGUAGCAAUUAAAGCUGAGCAAAACCCACCAAAUGCUGGAGAAAAUAUAGUGGGGAGGAAAUCAUUGUGGUGUUACGAGUCUAAAAACAGAAAUCAAUGUUCUUAUUGUUCCCUGCAAGAGUUUCGCAAGGAGGGAUAAGCUGUGCCUAAGACUCUGGAUGGAUGUAAAAUAAAAAUUAGCAGCUAGAUCCUUAUAAAAAAUGGGAUUGGGAAGUUUUUGUUUAAAAGGCCCACUUGAACCAAGCUCUCCUGGUUGAUUGCUGCUGUUAGGGUUUGAAAUUGCUCCUACUGUAUAUAUAGCAUUUAAAAGAGAGAUGACCACUAACAUGAGCUAGCUGCCAGCAAAGAGGUGUGCUUUAAAUAAUAAUAUUAAUUUCUACAACAUUUGGUACUAAGUUAAAGUUGUAUUUGUGUGCAGAUAUAUGUGUGCAUGGGCACAUGUGUGUGUUAGCAGGUUUCAUGGCAAGGAAAGAGGCUGCUAGUGAAAAUUUGGUGAAAGUGCCUCAGCUUCCUCUUAGAGUUUGUUUUGGUUUUUUUUCCAUCCUGGCAUCACAAAUAAAAUCUCCUCUGUAUUGUACAGUGCUGCUCUGUACAGUAAUGCCUUUGUUACCACCAUGGCUCUUACUUAAGCAUCUGACUACAGUAAUUGUUUUAUACAUUAACUAUACUCCCUGAUGGUUGCCCUAUUAUCUCUUUUUUUUUUUUCCUCCAAAAUGGUGCUUGCAGAUAUUAGCAGCUUGAUUACUCAUUUUAUUAACAAUUUCAACACUGUGUCAGGGUUGAUUUGGGAAGUGGGGUGGUGGUGUUGGUGAUGGUGGGGUUGAGUUUCUGUGGUGCUUUGGUGCUUCACAGCAGCUCCAAAUCCUCAGGGAGAUUCGGAUUCAAUCCAAGUUGCACGUUCACCAUCCAUAGGAUGGAGACUCCUGGUUGUAGAAAAGCAUUUCCAUUCAGCUGCCAUCAGGGCCAAUGCUGGGCAAAAGUGAUUUGUGAAAAACAGGGGUGGAAAUGAUGGAUUAGGAAAGGGAGAGGGAUGCACCAAAUCACUGUGAGGCAGCUCCUGUAAGCACUGUGUAUGUGUGUGUGUGUACAUGCAAUAAUGAGGGAGCUCAGGAAGGCAGCACCAAUUUGAGAAGUCUGUGCACCUUUUAGACUUGAGCCAUUUCCAGUGGGAACUGGAAGGGAUCAGGCCCUGGAAGGGGCAGGAGAGGUUCCUGCAGCACAAAGCGCUCCCCUGCCUCGCUCAUGCGUCACUUCUGUCAUCAAAAGGAAAAUCAGAGCCUGAUGCCAGUUAUUAAAUAUCUUCAUUAUAAGGGCAUUCCUUCCAGCUGACUUUCAAUUUUGUUGUAUCUAGGGGCCCUGUGUUAAUAACUGCGUGCUAAGGACAAGUGUUCUUAAAAAACACUGACUAUUGAAAUCCUUAUAAAUAAUAUGCAGCUUCCUGCUCCUGAUUGAUAGAUAUAUUGUACAGCCAAGCCACCAUAAAGGCAAUAAAUACAUGUACUGUGAAGGGUCAUGAGUCUCAAAAUUAAAUCGAAUGCAGAAAUUGAGUCUUGACAGAAUCUGAAGGGAUAAUGUCUUAGCUUCUCCAAUUACGCAGUUCAACAUUUGGAUAAAUCAUAUGAAAGUAAGUAUUUAGCCCCAUUUUUCAUAAUCACUAUUAAUGAGAACAAAAUGGGAGCUGAGGGCAGAGGGAGAGAGUUCUGACAAGAUAAAUAGCAUAUGGGGUGUGUUGUCAGCCACAGAAAAAUCAAGACUGUUUAAACCCCCUAAACAGCAGGAAGGAAAAAUGCAGGGGGGAAAAAAAUGUAGAAAGAAUAGUGGUCAUGUGUUAUUAUCAGCGACAGUCUCUAUGUCAGGACUUUUGAGAUCUGCCUUCCCAAACAGCACUUAGGCACAGAAGUAUCAGCUAGAGCUGCCCAGGAUGGUGUGAAUGACUGAUGCCCAGAGCACACCAUUUAAAUAUUGCCUGUUUGCACUCUGCCAGCAGCACUUAAAAACACCACUAAAAAAAUUCAUUAGAAAACCCACAGAUUUUUCCCUCUGACUGGUCCCUGUGGGUGCAGGACAGGUGGCUGUGCACACCUUCAGUGGCCACCUUGUGUGUCAGGGCAAUAAAACCAGGAGAAAUAGCUUUGCUUGCACGAGGCUUUCUCCAGCUUUCAUGCCAGGACAUGCACAGGAUGUGCAGGGCUUAAAGCAAGGAGAGGAAGGUAUAAAUUCCACAGUCAUUUUCUAUCAUCUUGUCUGUCUUUCCUGCUUUUCAAGUUGAAAUCACUUUAAGCAUCUGCGGCAAAAUUAUUCUUAGAGAGUCUCUCAUUAAAUUAGAUGUCUCUGAAUUGAAUUCAUUUCCACUCCAUUUUGUCAGCUGCUAACGCAGCAAGAGCCAGAUCCUGCUCAAAUUGGCUUUGAGGUUUGGUCCCUCUUUUUUAGGGGAGGAAAGAAGCUGUGGUUUCACACUUGUGCUGAGUUUUUCCCCACCCUGAAUUCCUGCCCUGCAUUUUGAAUUCUCAGGGAGCAUCCACUGCUCUUGCUCAGCAGCUGCCAGUGGCUGAACUCUGAUGUUACAAAUCCUAAUGACUCACUGGGAACCAAAUUAUAUCCAAAUACUCCUACAAUACAAAGCACAAGGCCACCUUUUGUCACCGAAUUAGAGCUACAAUAUCCCCACGAAAGUCCCCAGCAGUCUGUGCUCUGAGCCACACAUCCGCAUUCUGCGCCGCUCCGAAAAUGAGCAUUAUGCUCUAAACCCCUGCUUCCAGCCAUAAAUAUCCCAGCAAUCCAGGGGCAAAGGGACUGUUUCCAUAUCUCAUGCAACGUUAGCUGCUCGCAGAUUAAGCACGUGGGGCCUGGGGGAUUAUCUCCUUGAAUCAAUAUAAGGCAGGGAAGCAAACAAACAGCUGGCCGGGUUCCCCAAAAUAAAAGCGUUUGAUUGUGGCAAGCUUCAAAGCAACUGGUUGACACGAAAUAGGUUGGGUGCCCUCCCCUGCUGUGCCCGAGGAGCAGAGGGUAGCAGGGAAAUAAAUAAACAUCUAAAAAUUACUGCUCACUCCUCCCCCCGCCGACAAACCACCUCCCAGAGAAAAGCAGGGAAGCAAGGAAAAGCGCCCCAGAACAUAUGGCGGAAUCAAGCGCAGGAUCCCCGCAGGUUUGGGUUGUACAAGUAAAUAUUAAUCUGGGGGGGAUACUGGGGGCUGAGAUCAAAAGAGCUGCUCCCGUUUCUAUAGGGAAAAGGAGCGCUUUGAUGUCACGGCGUCUUCCCUGCGCCACCUAAUGAACUGAAAUUGUGACACAGUGACAUCCUGCAAGGUUUGAAAGCACUCAGCACAAUGACACGUCUGUGGGGCUUGCUGCUCUCUUUUUCCAGCAGCCUCCUGUGCCAGGAGGAAGGGUUCUGCUGGUGAGGGGGGAAUAGAGGCAGAGGGGCUUUGGGGAGAGAGAGGUGAGCGCUUCUGCCUCGGCCGCACACGGGGAGAGCAAAAGGGACUCACUGGGUCCUGCCUGAGCAGGAAAGGAUGGGGUAGGGAUGCAACACAAGGCAGAGGGUGAGUGAGCCCAAAGCCCCCACCAUCCAAGGCUGGCAGGACCAGAAUCAUCCUCACCCCACACUUUGUGCCCUCUGCACCCAGUUGGAGCCACAGUAUCCUCAGGGGAUGAUGGACAUGAAAAGAGUUUCAGGAAAAUGCAGAGUCAGAGGAAGGAUGAGCUCCUUGUCUGGGUCCCAUACAGGCAGAACCUCCUCUUGUUCACUUCAGGCCAAGAAAAUAAUACCCAGCAGGUAGAAAAAACAAUCCUACACACGCUUUCAGUCAAACAAAGGCCCUGAAUAUUUCACCCAGGCUCCCAGAGAAAGCACUAGAACAAAACCCUGUGUCCCCAUCCCAAGGAGGGCAGGGCUGAGCAGGGAUCACCCUGCAUGGAAUGGGCACAGCUGCCCAAACCCCCACUCUGGAUGUCAUGUGCUCUGAGGGAGGAAACCAGAGAGAAUGAAAAUUUAAAAAAAUCCUAAUAAACUGUGCAGCAAAACUCUCAGGGCAGGCAGAGAGGGAGGAAAGAUGGGAAAGUGGGAGGAAGAGAUGGUUUGCUAAGAAGGAUGACUCUGGGUGAUUUUGGGUGGAUCUCCUCCAGCCCUGCAUUGCUUGUGGAGUGUGGGUGGUUUAUUGGUUUAUUCAGCAUUUCUUUACCCACCCCGUGGCUCCUGGCAAGGACACAGAUCCCAGGAGACCCUGGGCAGCACCAGCAGUCAGGGCUGCACACAGUGCCCAGCCAUCACAGGGUUAAAUCCAGUUAAUCCCAGGGAUUUACCCCAGAUUAACCUGGGGGAAUUGAGAGCAGCAUUUGGCCCUGUGUAAAAGGGUUGGGCCAGG
Catharus ustulatus (Swainson's thrush) is the source of this 7499-nucleotide long non-coding RNA. RefSeq lists it as uncharacterized. The record is from RefSeq and is a predicted model, not a curated record. NCBI's taxonomy places the organism in Eukaryota, Metazoa, Chordata, Aves, Passeriformes, Turdidae. The transcript has 4 exons.